GACGAACGCUGGCGGCGUGCUUAACACAUGCCAGUCGAACGGAAAGGCCCUGCUUGCAGGGUACUCGAGUGGCGAACGGGCGAGUAACACGUGGGUGAUCUGCCCUCCACUUCGGGAUAAGCCUGGGAAACUGGGUCUAAUACCUGAUAGGAGCCACUUUUAGUGUGAUGGUUGGAAAGUUUUUUCGGUGUAGGAUGAGCUCGCGGCCUAUCAGCUUGUUGGUGGGGUAAUGGCCUACCAAGGCGGCGACGGGUAGCCGGCCUGAGGGGGUGGACGGCCACAUUGGGACUGAGAGACGGCCCAGACUGCUACGGGAGGCAGAAGUGGGGAAUAUUGCACAAUGGGCGCAAGCCUGAUGCAGCGACGCCUCGGGGGGGAAGACGGCCUUCGGGUUGAAAACUCCUUUCGCGAGGGACGAAGCUUUUUGUGACGGUACCUAGAGAAGAAGCACCGGCUAACUACGUG
Molecule: ribosomal RNA, 465 nt
Filed under: uncultured bacterium
Lineage: Bacteria
Description: partial 16S ribosomal RNA
Rfam family: Bacterial small subunit ribosomal RNA
Source: RNAcentral